AUUACGAAUACGAGUUCGAUGUAGCUCCUAUAAAGGACAAAUAUACAUUGACAUUGUCUGAUCGCAAUAUAUGGAAUACUGGAAUGCGUAAUAUUUCAUUCCAAAAGGUUCAAAUCAACGAUAAGAAUCAAAUAAUGCAAUCUCUGCUUACUGGUCUCCGAGCUAAUCAUACCUAUAAUAGUAAUCAUUUGAAAUAUACUGAUAGAAUAGAGAAAAAGGAUUAUAUAACUUAUGGGACAACUCCAGUGACUAAUCUUUUGUGUCAACCGGAUUUGUAUGUUGGAGCCAUUCCUCCUUUGACAACCAGUCCUUUUGCCGCC
This 320-nucleotide long non-coding RNA is filed under the name Androctonus crassicauda. Lineage: Eukaryota; Metazoa; Arthropoda; Arachnida; Scorpiones; Buthidae. The record is from RNAcentral.